RNAcentral lists this unclassified non-coding RNA (369 nucleotides) under uncultured fungus. RNAcentral describes it as "sequence contains ITS1". The record is from RNAcentral. Lineage: Eukaryota; Fungi.
UUAAAUAUUAUAUAUUACUCAGACAAUACAAAAUCAAGAGUUUAGGGUCCUCUGGCAGGCACUAACCAGCUGAUGCCGGUAGUCAAAAGACAGGCCUGCCAAAGCAACAAAGGUAUAGUAAACAAAGGGUGGGAGAUCUACCCUAAGGGGCAAGUUCUCUGUAAUGAUCCUUCCGCAGCGGAAGUGUAGCUGCUACUUCUAGCAGCCUCCCGAUCAUGUCUUAACCCUGAGGGCCACCUCCAUUUGACCUGUGAGCCUAUAACUAGGCUGCUAGUAUGACGCAUAGCGUCAAUCCUAGCAUGAUGGAGAUGUUGCCUGCAAAUACAGACUUUAUGUUGGCGAACCUGCAAAGAUGUUCACCUACGGAAA